GUCAUUUUUAAGACUCUUUUGAUCACUUAAUAAUUUAUGUCGAAAAUUAUGGAAUUACAUUACAUUAUCUUACGAAAUUACAUUAUACUAUUGUUAAUAUUAGAAUUAUGCUACUAUAUUAUCGAUAGUACUAAACGUUUAGUGCUAUCGAGUUUUCUGCCUUUGGAUGAAAGGAUGAGCGGUUAGGAUGAUAAUAAUUUGCGGUUAGGAUGAUAAUGAUACUCUAGGGUUGAGUGGAUGGUUGGUUAAAUAGUAUAAUUUAACAAAUAAAAAUAAUCAGAUAAUAAAUCUAAUUGUAGAAACCUCGAUAGUACGAUAA
This 319-nucleotide long non-coding RNA is filed under the name Ananas comosus (pineapple). Its description in RNAcentral is "long non-coding RNA (ACOM_LNC028029)". The record is from RNAcentral. Lineage: Eukaryota; Viridiplantae; Streptophyta; Magnoliopsida; Poales; Bromeliaceae.